This 1346-nucleotide ribosomal RNA is filed under the name uncultured bacterium. RNAcentral describes it as "partial 16S ribosomal RNA". It matches the Rfam family "Bacterial small subunit ribosomal RNA", at positions 28 to 1381 of the family's 1533-position model. The record is from RNAcentral.
GACGAACGCUGGCGGCGUGCUUAACACAUGCAAGUCGAACGGAAAGGCCCUGCUUUUGUGGGGUGCUCGAGUGGCGAACGGGUGAGUAACACGUGAGUAACCUGCCCUUGACUUUGGGAUAACUUCAGGAAACUGGGGCUAAUACCGGAUAGGAGCUCCUGCUGCAUGGUGGGGGUUGGAAAGUUUCGGCGGUUGGGGAUGGACUCGCGGCUUAUCAGCUUGUUGGUGGGGUAGUGGCUUACCAAGGCUUUGACGGGUAGCCGGCCUGAGAGGGUGACCGGCCACAUUGGGACUGAGAUACGGCCCAGACUCCUACGGGAGGCAGCAGUGGGGAAUAUUGCACAAUGGGCGGAAGCCUGAUGCAGCAACGCCGCGUGCGGGAUGACGGCCUUCGGGUUGUAAACCGCUUUCGCCUGUGACGAAGCGUGAGUGACGGUAAUGGGUAAAGAAGCACCGGCUAACUACGUGCCAGCAGCCGCGGUGAUACGUAGGGUGCGAGCGUUGUCCGGAUUUAUUGGGCGUAGAGGGCUCGUAGGUGGUUGAUCGCGUCGGAAGUGUAAUCUUGGGGCUUAACCCUGAGCGUGCUUUCGAUACGGGUUGACUUGAGGAAGGUAGGGGAGAAUGGAAUUCCUGGUGGAGCGGUGGAAUGCGCAGAUAUCAGGAGGAACACCAGUGGCGAAGGCGGUUCUCUGGGCCUUUCCUGACGCUGAGGAGCGAAAGCGUGGGGAGCGAACAGGCUUAGAUACCCUGGUAGUCCACGCUGUAAACGGUGGGUACUAGGUGUGGGGUCCAUUCCACGGGUUCCGUGCCGUAGCUAACGCUUUAAGUACCCCGCCUGGGGAGUACGGCCGCAAGGCUAAAACUCAAAGGAAUUGACGGGGCCCCGCACAAGCGGCGGAGCAUGCGGAUUAAUUCGAUGCAACGCGUAGAACCUUACCUGGGUUUGACAUGGAUCGGGAGUGCUCAGAGAUGGGUGUGCCUCUUUUGGGGUCGGUUCACAGGUGGUGCAUGCCUGUCGUCAGCUCGUGUCGUGAGAUGUUGGGUUAAGUCCCGCAACGAGCGCAACCCUUGUUCACUGUUGCCAGCACGUUAUGGUGGGGACUCAGUGGAGACCGCCGGGGUCAACUCGGAGGAAGGUGGGGAUGACGUCAAGUCAUCAUGCCCCUUAUGUCCAGGGCUUCACGCAUGCUACAAUGGCUGGUACAGAGAGUGGCGAGCCUGUGAGGGUGAGCGAAUCUCGGAAAGCCGGUCUCAGUUCGGAUUGGGGUCUGCAACUCGACCUCAUGAAGUCGGAGUCGCUAGUAAUCGCAGAUCAGCAACGCUGCGGUGAAAACGUUCCCGGGGCU